GAUGAGCGCUAGCGGCAGGCCUAACACAUGCAAGUCGAGGGGUAGCAGGAUUAAGCUUGCUUAAUUGCUGACGACCGGCGCGCGGGUGCGUAACGCGUAUGCAACCUACCUUAUACUGGGGUAUAGCCCGGAGAAAUUCGGAUUAAUCCCCCAUAGUACUAAUGAAUCGCAUGGUUUAUUAGUCAAAGCAUUGCGGUAUAAGAUGGGCAUGCGUCCUAUUAGCUAGAUGGUGAGGUAACGGCUCACCAUGGCUACGAUAGGUAGGGGGCCUGAGAGGGUGGUCCCCCACACUGGUACUGAGACACGGACCAGACUCCUACGGGAGGCAGCAGUGAGGAAUAUUGGUCAAUGGGCGCAAGCCUGAACCAGCCAUGCCGCGUGCAGGAAGAAUGCCCUAUGGGUUGUAAACUGCUUUUAUUUAGGAAUAAACCUCUUUACGUGUAGAGAGCUGAAGGUACCAAAUGAAUAAGCACCGGCUAACUCAGUGCCAGCCGCCGCCGUAA
RNAcentral lists this ribosomal RNA (503 nucleotides) under uncultured bacterium. RNAcentral's name for it is "partial 16S ribosomal RNA". It matches the Rfam family "Bacterial small subunit ribosomal RNA", at positions 28 to 523 of the family's 1533-position model. The record is from RNAcentral.